AGAGAGAGAGAGAGAGAGAGAGAGAGAGAGAGAGGAGGAGGAGGAGUGGUAGAUUGCUCGCCUCCUCUCUUGAGGAGAAAGCACGGGGACAAAGUGGGGAGGCCGAGGCUUCUUUACCGAUGUUGAAGAAGCCUGGUUUGCGUGAAGGGGCUUAGGCCAUGAGCGUUUUUUUAUAUUUAUCCGCUUGCCGGAUGGAGCCGUUAAUAAGUUUGCUUACAUCUUCAGCAGCGGGUUAAUAGGGGACUCACUGCCAAAUUCCCUUGUGACUCAACACUGUGACCCAUGGUGAGUUUGCACUGCCAACUCAGAACCCAUGGGUAAAUCAGAUCGAUAAGGACCCCUCAUUGUUUUUUUUUUUUUGAUACG
This 366-nucleotide long non-coding RNA is filed under the name Phoenix dactylifera (date palm). Its description in RNAcentral is "long non-coding RNA (PDAC_LNC007629)". The record is from RNAcentral. Lineage: Eukaryota; Viridiplantae; Streptophyta; Magnoliopsida; Arecales; Arecaceae.